GUAGUUCGAAAAAGAUGCUUCGCUUCGUCCAAUUUAGCUCAGCUUCAGUACGCUUUUGCUUUCGAGUAUCCGAUAUUUUUUCAAAUCGAAGAUUUUCAAUGACUUCAAGUUGUUCUAAAAUUUUUGCUCCACUUAACUCCUUGGGUGGCGGAUGUCGAUCGGAUUUACCAUCAAAGAAUUGGUUAUAAUGGGUCCUCCAAGAAUGAUUAGCAGG
This 214-nucleotide long non-coding RNA is filed under the name Elaeis guineensis (African oil palm). RNAcentral's name for it is "long non-coding RNA (EGUI_LNC082938)". Lineage: Eukaryota; Viridiplantae; Streptophyta; Magnoliopsida; Arecales; Arecaceae. The record is from RNAcentral.